RNAcentral lists this transfer RNA (70 nucleotides) under Avahi laniger (woolly lemur). RNAcentral's name for it is "tRNA-His". It matches the Rfam family "tRNA". Rfam says of the family: Transfer RNA (tRNA) molecules are approximately 80 nucleotides in length. Their secondary structure includes four short double-helical elements and three loops (D, anti-codon, and T loops). Lineage: Eukaryota; Metazoa; Chordata; Mammalia; Primates; Indriidae. The record is from RNAcentral.
GUAGAUAUAGUUUAAACAAAACACUAGAUUGUGAAUCCAGCAAUAGAAGCUCAAAUCCUCUUAUCUACCG